GUGGAGUGUACUGAAGAGGAAAGGAUUGGUUGCUGUUCUCAGCAUUGGAGAACCUCUAAUUUCUAAUGUGAACUUUAGUUUAAGUAAACUGGAAGUGUGUGUCCAAUGAAGGGUUUUAUCUGAAUUUGACCAUGAGGCAAGCCUUCAGAAGAGCAAAUUCAAACGCUAAUAUAGAUAAUGGGAUGUGAUAUUGCCCUGGCCUGAUUAGCAACUGAAUAGGAGGAUAGUCCUUGGAAAUUGCUGUCGGUACUUGCUAUGUAUUUGCAUGCCAGUAACUGCUAUU
Molecule: unclassified non-coding RNA, 283 nt
Filed under: Hevea brasiliensis (rubber tree)
Lineage: Eukaryota; Viridiplantae; Streptophyta; Magnoliopsida; Malpighiales; Euphorbiaceae
Source: RNAcentral